Parelaphostrongylus tenuis is the source of this 73-nucleotide non-coding RNA. NCBI's taxonomy places the organism in Eukaryota, Metazoa, Nematoda, Chromadorea, Rhabditida, Metastrongylidae. The record is from the annotation of a GenBank genome assembly.
GCGUUGGUGCUGCAACGGCUCAGCAUAAGCCCCCAGAAAGAGUGAGAUCUGGGUUCGAAUCCUGGCUGACGCA